GGUUUCUUGAAGAAAAAUGAGAAAUCUGACCUGCCCAAUGGCGUAAAGUUAAAUGGCCGCGGUAUUUUGACCGUGCGAAGGUAGCAUAAUCAUUAGUCUUUUAAUUGUAGACUGGAAUGAACGGUUGGACGUAAUAAUGUCUUUUUUAAUCUUAUAUGUUGAAUUUUACUUUUUAGUGAAGAGGCUAAAAUAAAGCCAAAAGACAAGAAGACCCUAUCAAGUUUUAUUAAUUAAUAUAAGAAAAUAUAGGUAAAGUAUGAAUAGGAAAUUAAUUUUGCUGGGGCGGUAAGGUGAAAACUAAUCAUGAUCCAAAAUUUUUGAUUAUUUGUUUAAAUUACUGUAGGGAUAACAGCGUAAUCUUAUUUAAGAGUUCAUAUCGACAAUAAGGGUUGCGACCUCGAUGUUGGAUUAGAAUUCCUUCUUGGAGCAGAAUCUAAGAAUGGGGGUCUGUUCNACCAUUANAAUUCUACA
Molecule: ribosomal RNA, 471 nt
Filed under: Parascutigera guttata
Lineage: Eukaryota; Metazoa; Arthropoda; Chilopoda; Scutigeromorpha; Scutigeridae
Description: partial 16S ribosomal RNA
Rfam family: Bacterial large subunit ribosomal RNA
Source: RNAcentral